UUUUAUUUCAGGUACUACCAGGCUCUGUUUCCCAGACCUUGGACUGCCAUAUUAGGACAGUGGCUCCACCUGGUUCAGCUUUCCUGAAAGGGAGAGAAGACAAAGAUCUUAGAGCCCAAACAGAAGAGAAGGAUUUCUGUCUUCAUUUUUACAAAUGAGAAACUGAGGCAAACGAGUCAUGAAGUGCUGUGUCCAGAUUGCAUGGAGACGGUGUAAUAGAGCCAGAAAAUGUAUUGUGCUAUCUUCCUGUCAAAGAGAUGUGUUGCUUUCCUGACCUUACUGUUAUGGAAACCUUGCGUGAGGAAAAUGUCAUUGUUCGGGACAACACAGAAGUCAAAUGAAUUCUCCGUGACUUGUGCAAAUGUUUGAAGUUAAAUGUGAACUUCUCUGUGACACAAAGGAGGCAUCCUGCCUUGUGCGUUGUGAGGAGUGGGUUCUGAAAAGCUCCAUCCAAAGUGGGAAUGAUUGACCUAUUCCUUGCUUCAUUCACUUGUGUGACUACCACAGCUACUACUGUUUCCUGUAAGAAACCAUGGAGUUGCAUGUUGAAUAUUUACCAGCUCAAAUAGCACAUAGGCAGUCAUGCCUUAGUAACAGUCGGAAGAACCAACUUAAGACUGACACAUUUCUGUCAUGAACAGUCCCCGUCAAGAACCUCCACCAACAGGGCUACUCUAACUUUGCUAUGUCUUAUCACCUCUAGCUGCAGGUAAGCCCAUUUCUCGUCCUACUCCCCAAGGACACAGAAGAGAUUAUUCCCUUCUUUGAAUUUGCCUUUUACUUAUUUUGAGACCCUGUCCUCCCUCAGACACAUACACAGAGAGACUAAUGCUAGUGCCCAGCCAAGAUGAUUCUUAAAACCGU
Molecule: long non-coding RNA, 864 nt
Organism: Pseudopipra pipra
Lineage: Eukaryota; Metazoa; Chordata; Aves; Passeriformes; Pipridae
Exons: 6
Source: RefSeq, a predicted model, not a curated record